Molecule: ribosomal RNA, 165 nt
Filed under: uncultured bacterium
Lineage: Bacteria
Description: partial 16S ribosomal RNA
Rfam family: Bacterial small subunit ribosomal RNA
Source: RNAcentral
UAACUGGCGUUGUUCAUUGGAAACUGGGAGACUUGAGUGCAGAAGAGGAGAGUGGAACUCCAUGUGUAGCGGUGAAAUGCGUAGAUAUAUGGAAGAACACCAGUGGCGAAAUCGGCUCUCUGGUCUGUAACUGACGCUGAGGUUCGAAAGCGUGGGUAGCAAACA